Non-coding RNA from Nippostrongylus brasiliensis, 72 nucleotides. Lineage: Eukaryota; Metazoa; Nematoda; Chromadorea; Rhabditida; Heligmosomidae. The record is from Rfam.
GUUUCAGUAGCAUAGUGGUUAAUGCACAGCCCAGGAUAUGUUAAAACGCGGGUUCGAAUCCCGCCUGAGAUA